RNAcentral lists this small RNA (357 nucleotides) under Pongo abelii (Sumatran orangutan). RNAcentral describes it as "processed transcript". Lineage: Eukaryota; Metazoa; Chordata; Mammalia; Primates; Hominidae. The record is from RNAcentral.
CUCCUCAGGUAUGGAAUAGAGCCCUGGAACUCCAUCUCCAACUGUAGCCAGGCCCUGUCCUACGACCUUACCACAGUGACCCUGGACCUGUACCGCAGCAGUGGCUACCGGGCCAGAGUCCGGGCUGUGGACGGCAGCCGGCACUCCAACUGGACCGUCACCAACACCCGCUUCUCUGUGGAUGAAGUGACUCUGACAGUUGGCAGUGUGAAGCUAGAGAUCCACAAUGGCUUCAUCCUCGGGGAGAUUCAGCCCCCCAGGCCCAAGAUGGCCCCUGCAAAUGACACAUAUGAAAGCAUCUUCAGUCACUUCCGAGAGUAUGAGAUUGCCAUUCGCAAGGUGCCAGGAAACUUCACG